GGAGGAACUGUAUGGCUGCUGCUGUUUCCGUCGGACUCUCAUACAGGGGCGGACCAAACAAACUCCCGCCUCCAGACAAAACCAAAGAGAGGAAACACAGGAUGAAGUUCCGAGCUAAAAUAAUCGACUUCGCUUGUCUCUCACACUUUAGCCGAGUCAUCACCACCAUCUCGAAGCUGACCAAGACGUGCGUACUGCGACUCACCCCAGACAACCUGUUCUUCGUGCUGUGCGGUAAAGUGGCCAACGGAGGCGUCAGCAUGUGGUGCGAGCUGUCUCAGGCCAACUUCUUUGACGAGUACCAGAUGGAGGGUGUGUCCUCUGAGGACAAUGAGAUUUGUCUGGAAGUGACUCCAGACAACCUUUCCAGAGCCUUGAAAACAGUCCAGAACGCCAAGUCUGUUAAAGUCAAACUGACCAAGAAGCACUGUCCCUGUCUCACCAUCGCUGCCGAGCUGCCUACUCUGUCCAGCAUCAGUCGAGUCGUCACUCACGAUGUCCCUGUUGACGUCAUCCCCCGGAGACUGUGGCAUGAAUUCAAAGAGCCGAGCAUGCCAGACUUUGAUGUCAGCAUCUACCUGCCUCCUCUGAAGACCAUGAAGAACGUUGUUGACAGGAUGAAGAAUCUCUCAAACUUCCUGGUAAUCGAGGCCAACCUGAAUGGAGAGAUGAAUCUGAAGAUUGAGACAGAUCUGGUUUCUGUCUCCACUCACUUCAAAGACCUGGGGAACCCUCCGUGGGGUGAUGACGCUUCCCAGCUGGGCAGGCCGUCUCAGAGCAGGGACCCAGAGGACAUGGCCGAGGCCAGGGUGGAUAUUAGGAAGCUGCAGCAGUUCCUCAUGGGGCAGCAGGUGAACCCCAGCAAGGCCAUGUGUAAUAUCAUCCAUCAGACAGUCAUCCACCUGAUUCUGCUGCAUGAAGACAUGUCACUGCAGUACUUUAUUCCAGCUGUGGCCUAGAGACUCUGCAGGUCUCUCUAGCCAGAGAGUUUGCAGUAGUGAAACACAGACUCUUUUAUAUCUUCCUCUAUGUACGAGACUAACCCACAAAUGUGUAAGUUUGUUCCAUGAGGCCAAGCUUGGUUCCAGUCUUCUGUGAAUUACUGGUAAAAGACCUCUGCAAAGAAGGAAGGUAACAAAGAAGUGAUGUCUUGAAUUGUAAAGUAUUUAUUUUGUAUUAUAGGUUUAUAAUAAAACAAUUCAAAAAAGGUUCAAAACUAAGAAAAAAACUACAGUUUUGCUGCUUUGUCUAGAAACAGCACAACUGAAUCUUCGGUUCCUUUUUUUUUUUUUUCUCCGAUCCUUCAUCCGAAUAAGGAAAAUACCUGCAACCCCUACAAAGUUUAUAUUGACCAUAACUGGAUGUUAAUUAAUUGCGAAAAAGAAAAAGUCGUGUUUAAUUAAGAACAAUGAGAGUUUGCUACUUGGGUCAAUUUUCAUCUGACGAUGAAAUGGAUUGAGUAAUCAUUUGAUGUUUUAAAUGUUGGAGUAAUUUUAUAAAGUUCAAUAUUCAAAAAUCUUUAUUAAUCCCAGAGGGAAAUUGCUUUGCACAGUUAGGAUAGUUUGCACAUUGUUUAGAAAGAUUGAAAAUAGCAAAAAGUGCAUGCGUGUGUGUGCGCGCUAGUUCUCCAACUCUGCUCAUGCACCACCUUGGUGCAGAAGUUGUUAUAAGUUGAAACAGAAGAUGUGUGUCAACAAAGUGAAAGUACAGAGCCAGUCCCUAUUUCAAACGUCAGUGGAACAAAACAGUACCUGAGCAAAGGUGAUGUUGAUGAUCAGAGAUCAGCAGCACAGCCUUCUCACGCUGCUCCAUGUUUUCCAUCCAACGCUCCAGAAGGUCCCAGCAGAGCAGCUCGCUGUCCUGAAGCUUCUUUGACGGCCUGGAUGAAAGCAGACUCUCACUGGACUUCAGCCACAGUGAGCUGGUGUCUGACGUCACACACAAGUCAUCAGUUAAUGUGCUGCUGACCAACCUCAUCCAGGGCAACCUGCUUCCCUCGGCUCUGGUCUGGAUCACUUCCCGACCCGCAGCGGCCCAUCAGAUCCCCCCUACGUGUGGACAGGGUCACAGAAGUACGAGGCUUCACCGACGCCCAGAAGGACGAGUACUUCAGGAGGAGAUCCAGCCACGAGGAUCUGUCGGCGAAUGUCGAACCCUUUACAUCUGACUGAGCUGGACCUGAGUAGAAACUACAACCUGCCAGAUUGUGGAGUGAAGCUACUUUGUGCUGGACUGUAGAAUCCACAUUGUAAACUGGAAUGUCUAAGAUCGGAGUCCUGCAGCUUGUCAGAGACCAGCUGUGGUUCUCUGGGCUCAGCACUGAGGUCCAACCCAUCCCAUCUGACAGAACUGGACCUGAGUGACAGCCAGCUGCAGGAUUCAGCAGUGGAGCAGUUGUGUGGUUUUCUGGAGAGUCCAGACUGUCGACUGGAGACUCUGAGAUUAAGUGAAUGCAGCUUGUCAGAGUCCAGCUGUGGUUCUCUGGUCUCAGCUUUGAUGUCCAACCCUACCCAUCUGACGGAACUAGACUUGAGUGACAACCUGCAGGAUUCAGGAUAACAGCAGCUGUGUGGUUUCCUGGAGAGUCCAGCCUGUCAACUGGAGGCUCUGAGUUGACGAUUCUGAGGGUUUGCACGGCGUCAGUGCAGUCAUCAGUGAAUCUCUUCCUCCCACUCAGUCCCUGCAGUGUUCAGGCUGAGCUUCAGGUGGUAGAGAGGGCAUCCGUUAACCACAGGUGCAGGUAGAAAGCAGCUGCUCAGAACAUAAAUGUUAUGUUAACCUUUUUCACAUUAAAACACUUAUACUACGGAUGUAGUGUCUGUUAAACGGUCAGAAACAGCCCCCAUGAUGCUGUGUGCACUAUUUGAGGUGUUUGAGUCUGCAUCACUGAUCUGAGAUCAGCUUAACAAGUGCUGGGCUGAAAUCCAUUUGCAGAUGUCAUCAAUAUUCAGUUUUACGCUCGGCAAACAUUUAACAUUUAUAUUUAAGGUUUAACAUUUACAUUUAGGUAUAAUAUUUAGAUUUAUAUUUAAAUUUUAGAUUUACAUUUAUUCUUGAUAUUUUGACUUUUACACAUUUAGCUAAAUAUAGGAAAACUAGUUUUGCAUGCUCCUUUUACAUUUGAUAUAGAUGUCAUGUGGCUGGAGUGUGCCAGCAGUUCCUGCAAGACAAACACAUUGAUGCUAUGGACUGGUUUACCGUUCCCCAACUGUAUCCAGUUGAGCACAUCUGGGAAAUCAUGUCUCGCUCCAUCCACCAACACCACGUUGCACCACAAACUGUCCAGGGGUUGGCAGAUGCUUUAGUCCAGGUCCGGGAGGAGAUCCGUCAGGGGACCAUCUGCCACCUCAUCAGUAGCACGCCCAGGCGUUGUAGGAAGGUCAUACAGGCAAGUGGACGCUACACGCUACUGAGCCUCAUUUGGACUUGUUUUAAGGACAGGACAUCAAAGUUGGAUCAGCCUGUAGUGUGUUUUUCCACUUCCAAUAUUGAGUGUGACUCCAAAUACAGACCUCCAAGGGUUAAUAAAUUUGAUUUCCAUUGA
Molecule: RNA transcript, 3544 nt
Organism: Betta splendens (Siamese fighting fish)
Lineage: Eukaryota; Metazoa; Chordata; Actinopteri; Anabantiformes; Osphronemidae
Gene: hus1
Gene name: HUS1 checkpoint clamp component
Exons: 11
Source: RefSeq, a predicted model, not a curated record